AAAAGGAGGGAGAGAAGAAGAGAAGACAAAACGGAGGAAGUGAUCCAGACUGCUGAUGAUAGUGUGAUGUGUUAUGUUUUGCAUCUACUCAGAAGGCUGAAGACUCGGGCUGUGUGAAUAACUUUCUGUGAAUAUCUUGCCGACGGCAGCUACCAGUCGUUGGUGAAAAUGAACAUUUAAAA
Colossoma macropomum (tambaqui) is the source of this 182-nucleotide long non-coding RNA. RefSeq lists it as uncharacterized. NCBI's taxonomy places the organism in Eukaryota, Metazoa, Chordata, Actinopteri, Characiformes, Serrasalmidae. The record is from RefSeq and is a predicted model, not a curated record. The transcript is spliced from 2 exons.